AGGGAUGUAGCUCAGGGGUAGAGCAGCUGCUCUGAGUACAGAAGGCCCUGGGUUCAAACCCUGGCAUCUCCA
Non-coding RNA from Podarcis lilfordi (Lilford's wall lizard), 72 nucleotides. The record is from the annotation of a GenBank genome assembly. Lineage: Eukaryota; Metazoa; Chordata; Lepidosauria; Squamata; Lacertidae.